CAGUCGCCGCGGGAAUACAGAGGGUGCGAGCGUUAAUCGGAUUUACUGGGCGUAAAGCGUGCGUAGGCGGCUCCUUAAGUCGGAUGUGAAAUCCCUGAGCUUAACUUAGGAAUUGCAUUCGAUACUGGGAAGCUAGAGUAUGGGAGAGGAUGGUAGAAUUCCAGGUGUAGCGGUGAAAUGCGUAGAGAUCUGGAGGAAUACCGAUGGCGAAGGCAGCCAUCUGGCCUAAUACUGACGCUGAGGUACGAAAGCAUGGGGAGCAAACAGGAUUAGAUACCCCUGUAGUCCCUGUCUCUUAUAC
RNAcentral lists this ribosomal RNA (301 nucleotides) under uncultured bacterium. Its description in RNAcentral is "partial 16S ribosomal RNA". It matches the Rfam family "Bacterial small subunit ribosomal RNA", at positions 509 to 807 of the family's 1533-position model. The record is from RNAcentral.